UCAAAACAGCGGACUUCGGUCCUUGCUGCACCCUUGUCUUUUGCGCACCGUAUUGUUUCCUCGGCGGGCUUGCCUGCCGGUUGGACAUUAUCAAAACCUUUUUGUAGUUGCAAUCAGCGUCAGAAAAACAAUAAUUAUUA
This 140-nucleotide unclassified non-coding RNA is filed under the name soil metagenome. Its description in RNAcentral is "partial internal transcribed spacer 1". The record is from RNAcentral.